GACGAACGCUGGCGGCGUGCUUAACACAUGCAAGUCGAACGGUAAGGCCCUUCGGGGUACACGAGUGGCGAACGGGUGAGUAACACGUGGGUGAUCUGCCCUGCACUUCGGGAUAAGCCUGGGAAACUGGGUCUAAUACCGGAUAGGACCACUGCCUACAUGGGUGGUGGUGGAAAGCUUUUGCGGUGUGGGAUGGGCCCGCGGCCUAUCAGCUUGGUGGUGGGGUGAUGGCAUACCAAGGCGACGACGGGUAGCCGGCCUGAGAGGGUGACCGGCCACACUGGGACUGAGAUACGGCCCAGACUCCUACGGGAGGCAGCAGUGGGGAAUAUUGCACAAUGGGCGCAAGCCUGAUGCAGCGACGCCGCGUGAGGGAUGACGGCCUUCGGGUUGUAAACCUCUUUCAGCACCGACGAAGCGCAAGUGACGGUAGGUGCAGAAGAAGGACCGGCCAACUACGUGCCAGCCGCCGCUGUAA
Molecule: ribosomal RNA, 478 nt
Filed under: uncultured bacterium
Lineage: Bacteria
Description: partial 16S ribosomal RNA
Rfam family: Bacterial small subunit ribosomal RNA
Source: RNAcentral